RNAcentral lists this long non-coding RNA (674 nucleotides) under Chinchilla lanigera (long-tailed chinchilla). Its description in RNAcentral is "lncRNA (ENSCLAG00000023858.1)". Lineage: Eukaryota; Metazoa; Chordata; Mammalia; Rodentia; Chinchillidae. The record is from RNAcentral.
UACAGAUCAUAAAUAUUAUUUUUGAUGGGAAUUUCAGCUGGGCAUGAGUAGAAGAGUUGUCAGUAACAAAAGUCUUUCAAUCUUCAUUCAGUUCAACUUCCCAGCACUGAGCUCCAGCCUCUGAUAUGAAAUGUUUGGAUCCGGUUCAGAAAAGAUGUCUGUGCCUUUGUCUGAGCAUAAAAAUGAGCCAGGAAGGAACUCACUUCUUUAACGUAGCAAGCACAGGAGCUCUUGCUUAUCACUGCAAAUUUACACUGUCUUCAGUUAACACUUGAUUUAAUGGAAACUCUGAAGCCCAGCCUGAAAGGGCAUGUGACUUGGGUGAAGAAUUCAUGGGAUAUAAUCACUCACAGCUGUGUUGCCCAUGCAAUCCUAGCAGGCUACAUGGACAAGAAGUGCUCAUGUAAGUAGAGCUCUAUUUCUGGACAAGAGAGAUUGGAGCCAAUGCUUCUACAGGACAUGGAGCUGCAAGAAACUCAGGCAAGAACUGGGGGUAUGGAGAGGUGUGCAUAUGUUCCUGAAAAAGAUGGUAUGAAUGUACUUAAAUAAAUAUCGAUUUUUACAGGAAUAAAUGUAGAUUUUUGUGUCAAAUAAAUAAAUGUGGAUUUUGUGCAUAACUAAAUUUAGAUUGUUGUUUGAUAUGAAAGAAUAAGAUAUCCCCUGAAAAAUAAGCC